UACGGAGGGUGCAAGCGUUGUCCGGAAUUAUUGGGUUUAAAGGGUGCGUAGGCGGGCUAAUAAGUCAGAGGUGAAAUCCCACAGCUUAACUGUGGAACGGCCUUUGAUACUGUUAGUCUUGAGUAAAGUAAAGGUAGGCGGAAUUUAUGGUGUAGCGGUGAAAUGCAUAGAUACCAUAAAGAACACCGAUAGCGAAGGCAGCUUACUAGACUUAUACUGACGCUGAGGCACGAAAGCGUGGGUAGCGAACGGG
Molecule: ribosomal RNA, 253 nt
Filed under: uncultured bacterium
Lineage: Bacteria
Description: partial 16S ribosomal RNA
Rfam family: Bacterial small subunit ribosomal RNA
Source: RNAcentral